RNAcentral lists this ribosomal RNA (492 nucleotides) under uncultured bacterium. RNAcentral describes it as "partial 16S ribosomal RNA". It matches the Rfam family "Bacterial small subunit ribosomal RNA", at positions 29 to 507 of the family's 1533-position model. The record is from RNAcentral.
AGUGAACGCUGGCGGUAGGCCUAACACAUGCAAGUCGAAUGGCAGCACAGUAAGAGCUUGCUCUUACGGGUGGCGAGUGGCGGACGGGUGAGGAAUACAUCGGAAUCUACUUUUUCGUGGGGGAUAACGUAGGGAAACUUACGCUAAUACCGCAUACGACCUACGGGUGAAAGCAGGGGAUCUUCUGACCUUGCGCGAUUGAAUGAGCCGAUGUCGGAUUAGCUAGUUGGCGGGGUAAAGGCCCACCAAGGCGACGAUCCGUAGCUGGUCUGAGAGGAUGAUCGGCCACACUGGAGCUGAAACAGGGUCAAGACUACUAAGGGAGGGCGCAGUGGGGAAUAUGGGACAGUGGGCGCAAACAUGAUACAGCGAUACCGAGUGGGUGAAGAAGGCCUUCGGGUUGUGAAGCCGUUUUGUGGGGAAAGAAAAGCAGCAGGUUAAGACCCCGCUGUUCUGACGGUACCCAAAGAAUAAGCACCGGCUAACUUCGUG